GGCGAGAUGGCCGAGUGGUCUAAGGCGCUGGUUUUAGGCACCAGUCUCCCCGGAGGCGUGGGUUCGAAUCCCACUCUCGUCA
Molecule: non-coding RNA, 82 nt
Organism: Anisakis simplex (herring worm)
Lineage: Eukaryota; Metazoa; Nematoda; Chromadorea; Rhabditida; Anisakidae
Source: Rfam